Molecule: long non-coding RNA, 8642 nt
Filed under: Homo sapiens (human)
Lineage: Eukaryota; Metazoa; Chordata; Mammalia; Primates; Hominidae
Description: HSALNT0021905
Source: RNAcentral
UGGAAUUCUAUUAGUAUUACCAGAGGAAAAAAAGUCAAGGAGUCAUCAAGAAAACAAAUCUAUAUCUUCUACUCCAUCAGCCAAUUACUGUUGUUAAAGUGGAAUUAGAUGGGUAUUGACAAUGCGAAGGGGAUAAGGAUUAAGCAGAUGACUGAAUAUAUUGCAAGCACUGGUGAUCAUAUUUUGGCUUUUUAGCAUUGUUUUGCUUUUGCUGCAUAGUUUUUUAAAACUCUAAAAUAGGAAUGUGCAAAGCAGAUUAAUUGCUAAUAUCAUGCCUGAAAAAAUACAAUUUAUAAUAUAUUUGCUAAUUGGAUAAUGCACAAAUAUUUUCACAUAAGAGUGCUAUUUUAUACCAGCAAAUAUUCAACAGCUAAGCAAAGAUUUAAUAGAAACCCGCAUCUGUCUAUAAGUACAGGACCACUGGAAAGAUAAUAAAAGGCUUUAAAAAUUUCCUUACCCUAAUUUAAGGGAGAAAAUUCCCCAAUCAAAUUUUGAAAAUGUUAUCUUUUCUUAAAAAGUAAGAAUAAUACAACUCAACUGAUUAUAAAACCAAAACACUUUUAUUGUGAGAGGUGGCAGUAUACUGUAAUAUUUAAGAGCAUGAUCUUUGACUCUAUGGAGACCUAGUUUCAAUUGUGGCCUCUGCCACUUUCUAUAGCUUUGUGACCUUAAGGAAAUUACUUAACCUAUGUCUUCAUUUCCCAAUCUGUAAAACUGAGAUAGAGUAUCCAAGUUAUAUGGUAGUGUGAGGUUAAAUGAGCAUGUUUGUGUAAAAACUUUGCAUAAUAUUUAAUUAGUAUUAGCUUCAGCUAUUAUAAAAUGUUAUCUCAAUACAUCCAUUGAAGUCAGGCAGCUAUUUUGUCUACAGAAAAAAUUCAGUUUUGUUAUAUAGUGAAUGGAAUUCCUGAGGUACUAACAGGUCAAAGUCAAGAAACCCAUAAAAGUAUUGGUUAUCAAUGCCAAAGUUCAAAGUAUCAUAUAAAAUCUGGUUUUACUUAUUAUUAUUAUUAUUAUUGUUAGUUUGAGAUGGAAUUUUGCUCCUGUUGCCCAGGCUGGAGUGCAAUGGUGCGAUCUCAGCUCAUCGCAACCUCCGCCUCCCAGGUUCAAGCGUUUCUCCUGCUUCAGCCACCCGAGUAGCUGGGAUUGCAGGAAUGCGCCACCACCCCUGGCUAAUUUUGUAUUUUUAGUAGAGACGGGGUUUCUCCAUGUUGGUCAGGCUGGUCUCGAACUCCCAACCUCAGGUGAUCCGUCCUCCUUGGACUCCCAAAGUGCUGGGAUUACAGGCAUGAGCCACUGCAUCUGGCCUGGUUUUAUUUUAUACUGCAAACUCCACUUCAUGGGGGUGGGGCGGGGGGCGGGGAUCACAAAGUACCAGGCAAAUUUGAUUUAAUGGCUGGGGGGGGAUUACCAGUUUAAAUUGCAAGUAAUACCACCAAGACACAAAAAGGUAGUUUUGUUUUGUUUUGUUUUAAAAAGAAAUAUUUCUGCCACUUUUUAAAAAUUUUAAGACCGGGUCUUGCUCUAUUGCCCAGAUUGACGGGCAGUGGCAUGAUCAUAGCUCACUACAGCCUCAAAGAACUCCUAGGCCCAAGGGAUCCUCCAGGUUCAAGGGAUCCUCCCACCUCAGCCUCCCUAAGUAGCUGGGAAUACAGGCACAUGCCACCAGGCCCGACUAAUUUUUUAAAAUUUUUUGUAGAGACAGGCCUCACUAUGAUGCCCAGGGUGGUCCUGAACUCCUGGAUUCAAGCAAUUCUCCCACCUCGGUAUCCUAAAGAGCUGAGAGUACAGGCGUCAGCCUCUGUGCUUGGUCCACCUAUUGAUGAGUUCACUAAGUCCUGGCUGAGGUUUCUGGUACCAUUUUCUGCCUUCUUUUCUUACAUCAAAGUUUUUACCCAUUUACAAACUGUGUUUUACUGACUGAAUAACACCCUCAUGUCCCUCUUUUCACACAAUACACGUAUUUUGAUAUUAAGCAUACUUACUACAUCUUUUGUCUUUUAAAGUCAAGUUUGAAUUAAUGGCAUAUCAUGACAGAUAUAUUGAUGCCAGUCUAAAAUAGCUAAGUAAAAUCAUAAUCCAAUGAGUAUAUCAAUGAACUUGGAGUAGCAUCACUUGAUGAAUCAAGACUGCCAGUAUUUUCUUCCUAGUGUGUGAACAUAGAAUGAUCGAUACUCUAGUACAUCCCAAAGACUUGACAACUGAUAUUUUGAGUUAGUGAAAAUAUGCAAAUAAAGUUUUCACUUAUAACAUCAAAGGUAAAUCCUUCAUUCAGAUGUACACUUUGAUACUGUGGUGAAUUAUGCCUAAAUCUUUUCAACCCUUGUUAAAUAUUUCCAAUGAGCUGAGGUAAUUUUACUUUGCAGUAUGAUUUUUUAAAAGGUGUAACGCACCUAAACACACACACAAAAAGGAUGCAAAGAAAUACAGCUUAGUUUUUUAACACAAAUAAAAUCCAAACAAUGAUAUAUCUUACAAUAAUGUAAGAAUACUUAAAAUACAUUGCUUUAAAAAAACAGUGGCAAAGAAUGGCAAGAAUCUAAUAAGGAAAGCGAAGGUUUGCAAUGGCAAUUCAUUAAAGAGAGUAAUCACACUAAUCAAGAAAAAAAAGUAGAGAUGCCCAAACACAGACAAGAAAAAAAAAACAAUAACAAAUCUAAUAAAUUUAACUUGCCCUGCCAGAUCUUUUUAACUUAUUGGAAAAUUCGCUUGACUUAAUAUUGACACAGAGAUGUGUAAAUCAAUACAUUCAGAAUGAAAGAUAUAUUUUAAUUUAAAAAUGUUCAAACUGCAGCAGUAAAUCUAUGCACUUAGCACAUAAAAAUCUUUAAGAGUUCAAAUGUUCAGACAUAACAUUGGGGUUGACCAACAACCUAUAGAUGAAUGCCAAAUCCUAAAUUCUGACCACCAAAAUACUUACUUUUUAUGUCACAUAUAAGGCAAUCUUUACAAUAUUUACUGAAAAAUAUUUAUAAAUACUAGACAAAUGGAUUUUCAUUGAGAAUCCAUCAAAGCCUGCAACCAGGGCACCACCUAUCUGCUGCUGAUAAAAAAGUCCUACUUUUAUAUAUUAUACAACUACAGGCUAUUGUGAUCUUACCAAAUGAAAUGAGAAAAGUAAAAGAAAUGAAGCUAUCCUUUAAUCUCAGUGACUGUCUAUAUGGUCAAAGCCUUUAGCUGUGCCAUCCAAUAUGGUAGCCACUAGUUAUAUGUGGCUAUUAAGAUACGUUCAAAGUAUUAAACACACAAAAGAUUUUGCAUUUACUCCAAGAAAAGUACAAAAUAUGUCAUAAUUUUUGCUACAAUAAUUUUAUUGUUACAUACACACAUUUUCAGGAUAAAAAUCAAAUAAUUCGUUUCACUUAGGAAUGUAUUAUACAAAAAAGUGAGACUUCAACAGACAAGCACAAGAACUUACUAUAGUUAAAAUUUAUCUCCUUAAAUAUUUUUGAUGCACAAAUUUAACUUGGUAUACCACACCAUAAAUCUAAACUAUCUUGAGUUUAAAUAGAUUGGUAGUGUCCUCACUCCCCGACCUUCCAUGGAUGGUGACACAAAGGAUGAAACAAAGGAUGGGGAAAAAGAUGUAUAUGAGAUGAUGUACAGAGGAUGAAACAUUAGUAAUUAUGAUGCUGAUCUCUAGUAAGCUAACCUUUCAACUUACAAAUCAAUAAAAGCUAAUAGGUAAACAAUUUUACUUCUAGAAAAACAAAUCUGUAUCAAACAAGAAGUGCUUAUAUUUACUAAAGUAUAUAUGAUUAUGGUGAAAAUUUUCCCCGUUAUCUCAAAAUGGCAGCAAAGAGAACUGCUCACCUCCUACUAUAAUUUUUCUUUAUAAUUAGUGUACAGCAUUACCUUCGGUAAUCUCAAUCCUUUCACUUUUAUCAUCCUCCUCCUUUAAAAUCUUUCCUUUCCCCAACUAUCUUCUCAAGCUUUGCUACUUACUAAGAGUGGGUCCCAGGCCAGCAUCAUCAGCAUCUUCUGGGAGCCCAUUAGAAAGGCAGAAUCUCAAGUUCCUCCCACGACUUAUUAAAUCAGAAUUGACAUUUUAACAAGAUCCACUCCCACCAGCCCCAAGAUCCGCUGGGAGAUUAAAUUUAAGCAUCUCCGCUCUACACUUGGUGGAAAGGAUUUCUAGCCUCACGGUCUGUGUCUCUUGUUCUUACCCUUUAUAUGUUUUCAUUGGUCCUCAGGUUAAUAAGGUUAGUAAGCAUCUUAAAAACUAUUGAUUUCAAAACUUCCAUUUUACAGAUAAACUAGAAAUAAACUUUAAUGCCUAGCACAAGACCUUACAAGAAAAGGCCCUUAAUAAAAGACAAGUUGGAAGACAAAGGCAAGAUGACAGAGAAGUUGAAGCUAAAAGAGGUUAAGGAUUUAGACGGUUUCUAUAGCUAAUUAGUUGCAUGGUGAAACUGUGUCUCAUGUUGACUCCAAAGAUCAAUGCUCAUUCCAAUAUACGAUGCAAGGCAAAGCCAGAGUUGCUGAGUCCCACCUCCCCCAACUUCUCACUGGGAUGUACGUAAGAGAGUAUGUCCUUGUGAAUAGGUGAAUGUGCACACAUGUGAAAACCUAGGUCUGCCCAGCUCUGGAGUGCUUCCCAAGAGAACAGUGUGAAAUAUUAGAAGUUUAGGCCAGGUGCGGUGGCUCUUGCCUGUAAUUCUAGCACUUUGGGAGGCUGAGGCGGGCAGAUCACGAGGUCAGGAGUUCGAGACCAGCCUGGCCAACAUGGUGAAACCCCAUCUCUACUAAAAAUACAAAAAUUAGCCAGCUGCAGUAAUGGGCGCCUGUGAUCCCAGCUACUUGGGAGGCUGAGGCAGGAGAAUUGCUUGAACCUGGGAGGCAGAGGUUGCAGUGAGCCAAGAUUGUGCCACUGCACUCCAGCCUGGGUGACAGAGCAAGACUCCGUCUGGGGGGAAGAAAAGAAGUUUAUAAUUUCCUGUACUAUAUUCUUUGAUCCUCUUCUCUUCUACUAAAAAAUACCCGUGGUCACUGGUAGGUAGGAAUCAAGAAGUAAAAAGUAAAAGUAAUAUGAGACAACUUUCAAACAUAGAAACAACUAGCCUGAAUUGGGUUGGGAAUUAUUACUUGAUUAUGCAACUGUUCACUCUCCCCUACUUCUUUUCGUCUAUACACUUCUGUCACCCUCUUCCUGUGCCAUUCCCCGCUGCAUCUCUUAUUUAACUGUCACAGAAAAGACAAAGUUGAAAAGUUACUUGUACAAUCCUUGUUGCUCUUUGGAAUAAAAACACUACCUAAAUCCUAUAAUUAUUAUAAAUAAUAACUUAUAAUUCCUAGUAUUUUAAAAUUUUUACCAGGUAUUUUCAUAAAAAUUACCUUAAAGUCAUCAUAACAGCAUGUCACUGUUUUUGAUAGUAACAGUGAUUAUAAAAAGAUGGACAAUUAUUGGACAUGAUAAAUCUAUUUACAUUUUUUCAAAUAAUAUCAUAUUAUAAAAAUUAUAAAAGCAGAAAAAGUUCAGGCAAUAAACCCAAAAAAAUGACUAGCAGGAAAAGCAACACCACAAUUUUACUUUUAAAAAAGCAAAGAAUCCAGUAUUAAAGUUGGUAUAAAACAUUGCAGUAAUGCUCAAAAGAUAAUGCUUUAAAAUAAAAGUAUUGUGGUGCUAAAUAUAAUGGAUUAAAUUAUGUCUUAUGAAAAGACCAGAAGAAGGUGACAGGUAUAUAAACAAUUCACAAUAAAACUAGCCAGCAGGUCAGUAAACAGAGAGAGCUUUAAUGAUUUGAAUAUCUGAUUUGAUUUCUUAUAUAUCAGUGCCUUAUGCCUAUUUAACAUUUGACAAUAAAAUAUACUUAACUAUGAUUAACAGGAGCACCUGAGAUUGCAGAGUUUACACUACAACAGAAAUAUAACUACUGAAAUACACCAUUCACUGUAAGAAUCCGUAUUACAGCUAACCUUAUUACAAAAGCAUUUAUCAGAAUUUUAAGUCUCCUAAACUCCAUCUUGGAUAAAAUAUAGUAACAAUAUGGAUAAAUCAAAGACUACUAGCACUUCAUAAAUAAUUACUGCAUGUAUUAGAUUAUUCCUACUAACAGAAUAGAUUAAACAGCAGAUCAGAUGAAGAUAAAAAGAGAAUUAAAUAACUGGAGCACAGAACCGAAGAUAUUACCUGUAAUGUGGCACACACAAAAAAACAAUGAAAUGAAAACUAGGAGAAAAGGGCUAAGAGACAUUAAGAAUAAAAUGAGAAAGUGCAACAUAUGUCUGUCUAAAAAGAUAGAAGACUGAGUCGGGCGGGGUGGCUCAUGCCUGUAUUCCCAGCACUUUGGGAGGCUGAGGUGGGUGGAUCAUGAGGUCAGGAGUUUGAGACCAGCCUGGCAAACAUGGUGAAACCCCGUCUCUACUAAAAAUACAAAAAUUAGCCGGGUGGUGGUGGCACGUGCCUGUAAUCCCAGCUACUCAGGAGGCUGAGGCAGGAGAGUUGCAUGAACCUGGGAGGCAGAGGUUGCAGUGAGCCAAGAUUGAGCCACUGCACUCCAGACUGGGCAUCAGAGCAAGACUCUGUCUCAAAAAAAAAAAAAAAAAAAAAGAUAGAAGACUAAUAAUAAACAAGAAGCUAUAUUUGGAUAAGGGCUGAAAUCUUUUUUUAAGAACUGAUUAAAGAUAGGAAUUCUCAGAUACAGGAAGCACAACAUAAAAAAAAGCAGGAUAAAUAAAUUUAUGUCUGUAUAUUGUGGGGAAACUACAAAAUAUAAAAUACAUGUAUUUUUUUCUUAAAAGCAGCUAGGGAAUAAAAAUAAAAUACAUUAUUUACCAUUAGUGGAACAGAUAUCUCAGAGCAAGAGUGAAUGCCAGAAGAUAGUACAAGAGUAUCUUUAAAAUGUUGAGAAAAAUUAUUUAACCCAGAAUUACAUACCAAGAAAAUUAUUCAUUAAAAAAGGUAAAACAAAGCUAGUUUCAGAUUUAAAAAGUGAAAUUAUCUGUUUUAGAUUUUCACCAAAAGAACUUCUAAGCAUAAUGGAAGAAAAAUGAUCCUGCAAAGAAAGACUGAAAUAUAAGAUGAAAGGUGAGAAAGAAUCUGGUAAAUCUUAUAGAUCUAAAUAAAUGCUAUACAUUAAUAAUAAUGUCUAAUUUAUAGGUUGACAAAACUAAAAGACUGGAAAUCAAGACAAUAUUUUCUGUUCAAAGAGGUGUGGUCAAAAUUAAUGUUCGAGGCCUCCCGCGGUGGCUCACACCUGUAAUACUAGUGGGAGGCCGAGGCGGGCAGAUCACUUGAGGUCAGGAGUUUCAAAUCAGCCUGGCCAACAUGGUGAAACCUCACCUCUACUAAAAAAAAAAAAAAAUAUAUAUAUAUAUAUAUAUACACACACACAAAAAUUAGCCAGGCAUGUUGGCAGGCACCCGUAAUCCCAGCUACUUGGGAGGCUGAGGCAGGAGAGUUGCUUGAACCCGGGAGGCGGAGGUUGCAGUGAGCCUAGAUUGCACCAUUGCACUCCAGCUUGGGCGAAAGAGUGAGACUCCAUCUCAAAGAAAACAAAAAACAAAAUUAUUGUUCUAAAGUCCUAGUAUUAUUUAGAAGAGGUUUAAAUAUUAACAGUAGAUGUUAAAAGCUGUUAAACACACACAGCAAAAUUUCAAAGACAUCAGAGGCAUGGAAGCAACCAGGGUAGAUACCUAGCUUCCAAACUAGUAAAAUGGAGGAGAAAAUUAGAACGAAAAAGAAAAGAGAGCAACAAGUCAAUACUAGAAGGAAAAAAAACUUUUAAAAUGUUAGAAAAAUAAAAGUAUGGAGUUGAUAUAAAUACAUGUCCACAUAUAUCAGAAAUCACAAUAAUCUGAAAGCAUUAGUUAUAUGGUAGACAAUAACAUGUUAGAUUUUUAAAAAUCCAACCGUAUGCUGUCUACAAAAGAUAUACUAAAACAAAAGGACCCAGAAAGGUAGAAAAAAUAAAAGGGUGGAAAAAAUAAUACCAGGAAAAUAUAAACUAAAGAAAGAUGAGGGCAGAUAUGUUAAUAUAAUGCAUAAUAGACCUUAUAUAAUAUUAAAAGCAUUAUUAAAAAUAAAACAAAAGUUAAAUUAACCAGGAAGGUUAAUCCACUUCAAACACUAGUGUCUUUAAUUUUGUCUGUUUGGGUACUAUUUAUAAGAAUGGGAUCUUACACUAUGUUUUCUUCUACAAUUUGCUUUUUUUUUCUCUCAAUGAGACUCAUUCAUGUUAAUGUUUGCAGUUAUAGUUCAUUCCACUGCUGAAUUCCAUAGUAGAAAUAUAUCUAUUAUUAAUAUAUUCUAAUAUUAAUUGGUAAAAAGUGAAACAAGUGACAUGAAUAAGAACAGCAGUGCCGGGCGCGGUGGCUCACGCCUAUAAUCCCAGCGCUUUGGGAGGCCGAGGCAGGCAAAUCACGAGGUCGAGAGAUUGAGACCAUCCUGGCCAACAUGGUGAAACCCCAUCUCUACUAAAAAUACAAAAAUUAGCUGGUGUGGUGGCACACUCCUGUAGUUCCAGCUACUCGGUAGGCUGAGGCAGGAGAAUCGCUUGAACCUGGGAGGCAGAGGUUGUAGUUAGCCGAGAUCACGCCACUGCACUCCAGCCUGGUGACAGAGCAAGAGUCUCUCUCAAAAAAUAAUAACAAUAUAAAAAAAGAACAGCAGGAAUGUUUGUAAUAGCCAGAAACUUGUAACAAUA